AUACGUAGGUGGCGAGCGUUAUCCGGAAUUACUGGGUGUAAAGGGCGCGCAGGCGGGGAGACAAGUCAGAUGUGAAAUACCGGUGCUUAACACCGGGGGUGCAACUGAAACUGUUUUUCUUGAGUAUCGGAGAGGGAAGCGGAAUUCCCAGUGUAGCGGUGAAAUGCGUAGAGAUUGGGAGGAACACCAGUGGCGAAGGCGGCUUUCUGGACGACAACUGACGCUGAGGCGCGAAAGCGUGGGGAGCAAACAGGAUUAGAUACCCUGGUAGUCCACGCCGUAAACGAUGGAUACUAGGUGUAGGAGGUAUCGACCCCUUCUGUGCCGGAGUUAACACAAUAAGUAUCCCACCUGGGGAGUACGGCCGCAAGGCUGAA
Molecule: ribosomal RNA, 377 nt
Filed under: uncultured bacterium
Lineage: Bacteria
Description: bacterial SSU rRNA
Rfam family: Bacterial small subunit ribosomal RNA
Source: RNAcentral